AGUGAACGCUGGCGGUAGGCCUAACACAUGCAAGUCGAACGGCAGCACAGUAAGAGCUUGCUCUUACGGGUGGCGAGUGGCGGACGGGUGAGGAAUACAUCGGAAUCUACUUUUUCGUGGGGGAUAACGUAGGGAAACUUGCGCUAAUACCGCAUACGACCUACGGGUGAAAGCAGGGGAUCUUCGGACCUUGCGCGAUUGAAUGAGCCGAUGUCGGAUUAGCUAGUUGGCGGGGUAAAGGCCCACCAAGGCGACGAUCCGUAGCUGGCCUGAGAGGAUGAUCAGCCACACUGGAACUGAGACACGGUCCAGACUCCUACGGGAGGCAGCAGUGGGGAAUAUUGGACAAUGGGCGCAAGCCUGAUCCAGCCAUACCGCGUGGGUGAAGAAGGCCUUCGGGUUGUAAAGCCCUUUUGUUGGGAAAGAAAAGCAGCAGGUUAAUACCCCGCUGUUCUGACGGUACCCAAAGAAUAAGCACCGGCUAACUUCGUG
This 492-nucleotide ribosomal RNA is filed under the name uncultured bacterium. RNAcentral's name for it is "partial 16S ribosomal RNA". It matches the Rfam family "Bacterial small subunit ribosomal RNA", at positions 29 to 507 of the family's 1533-position model. The record is from RNAcentral.